UAGGUAGGAUUUGCCAGCACAGUUCCAUCUA
This 31-nucleotide non-coding RNA is filed under the name Rattus norvegicus (Norway rat). The record is from RNAcentral. Lineage: Eukaryota; Metazoa; Chordata; Mammalia; Rodentia; Muridae.